RNAcentral lists this ribosomal RNA (2133 nucleotides) under Salmonella enterica. RNAcentral describes it as "partial 23S ribosomal RNA". It matches the Rfam family "Bacterial large subunit ribosomal RNA", at positions 711 to 2824 of the family's 2925-position model. Lineage: Bacteria; Pseudomonadati; Pseudomonadota; Gammaproteobacteria; Enterobacterales; Enterobacteriaceae. The record is from RNAcentral.
AGACCCGAAACCCGGUGAUCUAGCCAUGGGCAGGUUGAAGGUUGGGUAACACUAACUGGAGGACCGAACCGACUAAUGUUGAAAAAUUAGCGGAUGACCUGUGGCUGGGGGUGAAAGGCCAAUCAAACCGGGAGAUAGCUGGUUCUCCCCGAAAGCUAUUUAGGUAGCGCCUCGUGAAUUCAUCUCCGGGGGUAGAGCACUGUUUCGGCUAGGGGGCCAUCCCGGCUUACCAACCCGAUGCAAACUGCGAAUACCGGAGAAUGUUAUCACGGGAGACACACGGCGGGUGCUAACGUCCGUCGUGAAGAGGGAAACAACCCAGACCGCCAGCUAAGGUCCCAAAGUCAUGGUUAAGUGGGAAACGAUGUGGGAAGGCCCAGACAGCCAGGAUGUUGGCUUAGAAGCAGCCAUCAUUUAAAGAAAGCGUAAUAGCUCACUGGUCGAGUCGGCCUGCGCGGAAGAUGUAACGGGGCUAAACCAUGCACCGAAGCUGCGGCAGCGACACUAUGUGUUGUUGGGUAGGGGAGCGUUCUGUAAGCCUGCGAAGGUGGCCUGUGAGGGUUGCUGGAGGUAUCAGAAGUGCGAAUGCUGACAUAAGUAACGAUAAAGCGGGUGAAAAGCCCGCUCGCCGGAAGACCAAGGGUUCCUGUCCAACGUUAAUCGGGGCAGGGUGAGUCGACCCCUAAGGCGAGGCCGAAAGGCGUAGUCGAUGGGAAACGGGUUAAUAUUCCCGUACUUGGUGUUACUGCGAAGGGGGGACGGAGAAGGCUAUGUUGGCCGGGCGACGGUUGUCCCGGUUUAAGCGUGUAGGUGUGUGUUCCAGGUAAAUCCGGUUCACUUUAACACUGAGGCGUGACGACGAGGCACUACGGUGCUGAAGCAACAAAUGCCCUGCUUCCAGGAAAAGCCUCUAAGCAUCAGGUAACAUCAAAUCGUACCCCAAACCGACACAGGUGGUCAGGUAGAGAAUACCAAGGCGCUUGAGAGAACUCGGGUGAAGGAACUAGGCAAAAUGGUGCCGUAACUUCGGGAGAAGGCACGCUGACACGUAGGUGAAGUGAUUUACUCACGGAGCUGAAGUCAGUCGAAGAUACCAGCUGGCUGCAACUGUUUAUUAAAAACACAGCACUGUGCAAACACGAAAGUGGACGUAUACGGUGUGACGCCUGCCCGGUGCCGGAAGGUUAAUUGAUGGGGUCAGCGCAAGCGAAGCUCCUGAUCGAAGCCCCGGUAAACGGCGGCCGUAACUAUAACGGUCCUAAGGUAGCGAAAUUCCUUGUCGGGUAAGUUCCGACCUGCACGAAUGGCGUAAUGAUGGCCAGGCUGUCUCCACCCGAGACUCAGUGAAAUUGAACUCGCUGUGAAGAUGCAGUGUACCCGCGGCAAGACGGAAAGACCCCGUGAACCUUUACUAUAGCUUGACACUGAACAUUGAGCCUUGAUGUGUAGGAUAGGUGGGAGGCUUUGAAGCGUGGACGCCAGUCUGCGUGGAGCCGACCUUGAAAUACCACCCUUUAAUGUUUGAUGUUCUAACGUGGACCCGUGAUCCGGGUUGCGGACAGUGUCUGGUGGGUAGUUUGACUGGGGCGGUCUCCUCCUAAAGAGUAACGGAGGAGCACGAAGGUUGGCUAAUCCUGGUCGGACAUCAGGAGGUUAGUGCAAUGGCAUAAGCCAGCUUGACUGCGAGCGUGACGGCGCGAGCAGGUGCGAAAGCAGGUCAUAGUGAUCCGGUGGUUCUGAAUGGAAGGGCCAUCGCUCAACGGAUAAAAGGUACUCCGGGGAUAACAGGCUGAUACCGCCCAAGAGUUCAUAUCGACGGCGGUGUUUGGCACCUCGAUGUCGGCUCAUCACAUCCUGGGGCUGAAGUAGGUCCCAAGGGUAUGGCUGUUCGCCAUUUAAAGUGGUACGCGAGCUGGGUUUAGAACGUCGUGAGACAGUUCGGUCCCUAUCUGCCGUGGGCGCUGGAGAACUGAGGGGGGCUGCUCCUAGUACGAGAGGACCGGAGUGGACGCAUCACUGGUGUUCGGGUUGUCAUGCCAAUGGCACUGCCCGGUAGCUAAAUGCGGAAGAGAUAAGUGCUGAAAGCAUCUAAGCACGAAACUUGCCCCGAGAUGAGUUCUCCCUGAGACUUUA